RNAcentral lists this ribosomal RNA (528 nucleotides) under Papilio machaon (common yellow swallowtail). Its description in RNAcentral is "partial 16S ribosomal RNA". Lineage: Eukaryota; Metazoa; Arthropoda; Insecta; Lepidoptera; Papilionidae. The record is from RNAcentral.
UUUCCCCYKKUUUUUAAAAAACAUGUYUUUUUGGAAAUAAUUUAAAGUYUAAUYUGCCCACUGAUAAAUAUAUUAAAGGGCUGCAGUAUUUUGACUGUACAAAGGUAGCAUAAUCAUUAGUYUYUUAAUUGGUGACUUGUAUGAAAGAUUGGAUGAAAUAUAAACUGUYUYUAAUUAAUUUAUAAAAUUUAAUUUUUUAGUAAAAAAGCUAAAAUAAUUUUAAAAGACGAGAAGACCCUAUAGAGUUUUAUAAUUUAUUUGAUUAUUAUUAAUAUGUAAAUUUUAAAAUUAAAAUUAAAUAAAUUAUUUUGUUGGGGKGACAGAAAAAUUAAAUUAACUUUUUUAAAUAAUUAACAUUAAUUUAUGAAUAAAUGAUCCAUUAAUAUUGAUUAAAAGAAAAAAUUACCUUAGGGAUAACAGCGUAAUUUUUUUUUUUAGUUCAAAUAGGAAAAAAAGUUUGCGACCUCGAUGUUGGAUUAAGAUAAAAUUUAAAUGCAAAAGUUAAAAUUUGAUCGUCGAUCAUUMGGC